RNAcentral lists this ribosomal RNA (437 nucleotides) under uncultured bacterium. RNAcentral describes it as "partial 16S ribosomal RNA". It matches the Rfam family "Bacterial small subunit ribosomal RNA", at positions 29 to 507 of the family's 1533-position model. The record is from RNAcentral.
AGCGAACGCUGGCGGCAGGCUUAACACAUGCAAGUCGAGCGGGCAUCCUUGUGGUGUCAGCGGCAGACGGGUGAGUAACGCGUGGGAACGUGCCCUUCGGUUCGGAAUAACUCCGGGAAACUUGAGCUAAUACCGGAUACGUGCGAGAGCAGAAAGGUUUAUCUGCCGAAGGAUCGGCCCGCGUCUGAUUAGCUAGUUGGUGAGGUUAUGGCUCACCAAGGCGACGAUCAGUAGCUGGUCUGAGAGGAUGAUCAGCCACACUGGGACUGAGACACGGCCCAGACUCCUACGGGAGGCAGCAGUGGGGAAUAUUGGACAAUGGGGGCAACCCUGAUCCAGCCAUGCCGCGUGAGUGAUGACGGCCUUAGGGUUGUAAAGCUCUUUUCUCCGGGACGAUAAUGACGGUACCGGAGGAAUAAGCCCCGGCUAACUUCGUG